AGUACUCCUACGGGGAGGCAGCAGUGGGGGAAUAUUGCACAAUGGGCGCAAGCCUGAUGCAGCCAUGCCGCGUGUGUGAAGAAGGCCUUCGGGUUGUAAAGCACUUUCAGUCGUGAGGAAGGUAGUGUAGUUAAUAGCUGCAUUAUUUGACGUUAGCGACAGAAGAAGCACCGGCUAACUCCGUGCCAGCAGCCGCGGUAAUACGGAGGGUGCGAGCGUUAAUCGGAAUUACUGGGCGUAAAGCGCAUGCAGGUGGUUUGUUAAGUUCAGAUGUGAAAGACCCGGGGCUCAACCUCGGAAUAGCAUUUGAAACUGGCAGACUAGAGUACUGUAGAGGGGGGUAGGAAUUUCAGGUGUAGCGGUGAAAUGCGUAGAGAUCUGAAGGAAUACCGGUGGCGAAGGCGGCCCCCUGGACAGAUACUGACACUCAGAUGCGAAAGCGUGGGGAGCAAACAGGAUUAGAUACCCUGGUAG
Molecule: ribosomal RNA, 474 nt
Filed under: uncultured bacterium
Lineage: Bacteria
Description: bacterial SSU rRNA
Rfam family: Bacterial small subunit ribosomal RNA
Source: RNAcentral